Molecule: ribosomal RNA, 665 nt
Filed under: Escherichia coli
Lineage: Bacteria; Pseudomonadati; Pseudomonadota; Gammaproteobacteria; Enterobacterales; Enterobacteriaceae
Description: partial 23S ribosomal RNA
Rfam family: Bacterial large subunit ribosomal RNA
Source: RNAcentral
UGGAGCCGACCUUGAAAUACCACCCUUUAAUGUUUGAUGUUCUAACGUUGGCCCCUAAUCGGGGUUGCGGACAGUGUCUGGUGGGUAGUUUGACUGGGGCGGUCUCCUCCUAAAGAGUAACGGAGGAGCACGAAGGUUGGCUAAUCCUGGUCGGACAUCAGGAGGUUAGUGCAAUGGCAUAAGCCAGCUUGACUGCGAGCGUGACGGCGCGAGCAGGUGCGAAAGCAGGUCAUAGUGAUCCGGUGGUUCUGAAUGGAAGGGCCAUCGCUCAACGGAUAAAAGGUACUCCGGGGAUAACAGGCUGAUACCGCCCAAGAGUUCAUAUCGACGGCGGUGUUUGGCACCUCGAUGUCGGCUCAUCACAUCCUGGGGCUGAAGUAGGUCCCAAGGGUAUGGCUGUUCGCCAUUUAAAGUGGUACGCGAGCUGGGUUUAGAACGUCGUGAGACAGUUCGGUCCCUAUCUGCCGUGGGCGCUGGAGAACUGAGGGGGGCUGCUCCUAGUACGAGAGGACCGGAGUGGACGCAUCACUGGUGUUCGGGUUGUCAUGCCAAUGGCACUGCCCGGUAGCUAAAUGCGGAAGAGAUAAGUGCUGAAAGCAUCUAAGCACGAAACUUGCCCCGAGAUGAGUUCUCCCUGACUCCCUGAGAGUCCUGAAGGAACGUUG